This 439-nucleotide ribosomal RNA is filed under the name uncultured bacterium. RNAcentral describes it as "partial 16S ribosomal RNA". It matches the Rfam family "Bacterial small subunit ribosomal RNA", at positions 338 to 795 of the family's 1533-position model. The record is from RNAcentral.
CCUACGGGAGGCAGCAGUGGGGGAUAUUGCACAAUGGACGAAAGCCUGAUGCAGCGACGCAGCGUGAGGGAAGACGGUCUUCGGAUUUUAAACCUCUGUCUUUGGGGAAGAAAAUGACGGUACCCAAAGGGUAAUCUCCGUCUAACUACGUGCCGGCGGCCGCGGUACUACGUAGGGAGCAAGCGUUGUCCGGAAUUACUGGGUGUAAAGGGAGCGUAGGCGGGAUGGCAAGUAGAAUGUUAAAUCCAUGGGCUCAACCGGUGGCUGCGUUUUAAACUGGCGUUCUUGAGUGAAGUAGAGGUAGGCGGAAUUCCUAGUGUAGCGGUGAAAUGCGUAGAUAUUAGGAGGAACACCAGUGGCGAAGGCGGCCUGCUGGGCUUUAACUGACGCUGAGGCUCGAAAGCGUGGGGAGCAAACAGGAUUAGAUACCCUAGUAGUC